AUAUUGCACAAUGGGGGACACCCUGAUGCAGCGACGCCGCGUGAGUGAAGAAUUAUUNNNGUAUGNACAGCUCUAUCAGCAGGNAAUNUAAUGACUUUACCUGAUUAAGAAGCCCCGGCUACUUACGUGCCAUCAGCCGCGGUAACACGUAGGGGGCAAGCGUUAUCCGGAUUUACUGGGUGUAAAGGGAGCGUAGGUGGUUCGGUAAGUCAGAUGUGAAAGCCCGGGGCUCAACCCCGGGACUGCAUUUGAAACUAUCGAACUAGAGUGUAGGAGAGGUAAGUGGAAUUCCUAGUGUAGCGGUGAAAUGCGUAGAUAUUAGGAGGAACACCAGUGGCGAAGGCGGCUUACUGGACUAUAACUGACACUGAGGCUCGAAAGCGUGGGGAGCAAACAGG
RNAcentral lists this ribosomal RNA (398 nucleotides) under uncultured bacterium. Its description in RNAcentral is "partial 16S ribosomal RNA". It matches the Rfam family "Bacterial small subunit ribosomal RNA", at positions 361 to 776 of the family's 1533-position model. The record is from RNAcentral.